GUGCCCACCUCAGUACUUCCCUUACUCAGGAAAAAAUUACCCAUGGACUCUUUAAUAAUAAGGAAAAUAAGUGCAUUUGAAGCCAGUCUUACUUCAGAGGUCAUUUCUAUAAUCACCCGUUUGGAGCAGCAGUGCCCGACAUCGGCAUCUGGGAUCCUGACACGAUUGAUAGAACCGAAUCAAGCAAGACAAUACCACCCCACUUUUAUUCGCUGUGAUUUGCAAGAAAGAGAAAAUGGUGGAAUUUUUAUUGAAAAAGCAAAUACACAUGCCGUUGAUAGGCCGAGAUGGUACAGCAGUUCUUUUUUAAAGCGAAAAGCUGUUUAUUCUAGAGUUGUAAGAGUCAAGUCAGAAGUACUAAUAAGCUGCAUGUAAUUAUUGGCAUAUAGUGAAAAAUAUCACCACGAACAAUCAGGUAGACCAGCAAGUAUUUGGACUAACAAAGAAGAACAUAUGACGGAGUCUCACUCCGUUGCCAGCCUGGAGUGCAGUGGUGGGAUCUCGGCUCACUGCAACCUCCACCUGCCAGGUUCAAGCGAUUCUCCUGCCUCAGCCUCCCACGUAGCUGGGACUACAGAACAGCCCUCAUGCUUGCUGUGCACUAUGACCCGCCAGGUAUUGUCAACAUCCUUCUUAAGCAAAAUGUUAAGAGCUCUACUCAAGACAUGUGUGGAUGAGAGGCUGAAGACUUCCCUCUUGUGGGUUGACAAAGGAGUCUCACUCCGUUGCCAGCCUGGAGUGCGUUGGUGUGAUCUCGGCUCACUGCAUCCUCCACGUCCCAGGUUCGAGCGAUUCUCCUGCCUCAACCUCCCACGUAGCUGGGACUACAGCAGCGUGUCCCCGAGAAAGUGUCGGAGCCUUUACCUCGACCUUCCUGUGAAAAAGGGAACAGAAUAGUCAACGGAAAAGGAGAAGAUGAAGCAACGAUGAAGGUUGAAUGUCUCACGCCUGUAAACCCCAGCACUUUGAGAGGCUGAGGCCGACAGAACACUUGAGCCCAACAGUUCAAGACCAGCCUGGGCAACAAGGCAAAACCCCGUCUCUACAGAAACUACAGAAAUCAGCCCAGCAUGGUGACACAGGUCAACGGUCAAAACGACUUGGAUGGCUUGAAGUGUGAGGAUCACCUGAGCCCAGGAAAUGGAGAUAGGAGUGAGCCAAGGUCUCGCCACCGCACUCCAGCCUGCGUUACAGAGUGAAUCCCCCUCUCAAAAAACAGCCGUUAAAAUGCUGCUUACGCGGAAGACUGUGUUCUAGGUACUCCAGGAUACACACAAAUAUGUUUGCUGACCUCCAGUGGCCCAUGAUUCCACUUCUGCAAGGCUCCACAGAAGUCUCCAACCUUCAAAUCUUCAGUCUCCGAAAGCACCGAUUCCUGAAAGGAUGGCCUCAAAUGACCAAGUAUACGAGCCGUCUAUAUCCCUGCUCCUGAAAAACAAGCUAACUGGACUCUCCAUCACCUUCCCCCAGCACAGACGCACUACCAGCUACGCAGCUGAACUCCAUGACUGACUUGCCAUCCAAUCAUGCCCCUGACCCAGCCUACAUGAACAAGGGAAGGAAUAUCAGCGAAUUAGGAAAAGAGGCAGAGGUGAGGAGACCACCUGUCCUGGGCCACAGAGCUAUGUAGAGUUCAUCAAUCUCCAGCCCCUUAGUAUUCCAGGGGCUCUAAACCACCUUCUGUAAGUCAGGAUGGAAGUAGAUGGUGCCACGAAGAUUUCUCUCUGCUGUAGCCACUCCUUCAGUGUCUCAAAAUGUUUUAACAUCUUUCAGUAAAAAUCUGUCAGUCCUUGAUAAAUUAAAAAAAAAAAAGGCAGCAAAGUUUUUAGAGCUCCCUUGAACCUUCUAUUUUAAGGCGCCUUUGUAGAUAAUUCCCAACAUUCUGUGUGUCGGUCAUCUUUGGAAUUUAUCGAUCGAUCAUUGUUUCUCUUCAAACUUGGCCUUGCCCUGCCCAUUCCAUUCUUACCCGCUUUCAUUGGCUUCACUAGUCAAUUCCACACUCAUUCUAGACACUGGGUGCACGAGACUCACUCCCGUUUGUAUUACCAAAACUCAGGCCAAUAGGAUAUAAAAAGUAGGAAGAAUACUGGGAUUUAACAUGAGUACAAAUCUCAUUUCUUCCAAUUCCUAUGUCUUCUUGAAUCCUAAUCUUUCUGAGACUCAAGUUUUCUAUCUAAACGAUCCCUUGACCAGAAUGUUCAACAGACGUGACAAUACUAGAACGUGUUUUAAUUCAUUCUAAGAUUCCUUAAAAUUCUGUAAUUCUAUGUGCUUCUGAUUCUGGGAAUACAUAGCCAGCAGAAUUUGAAAAACGAAUAGAAUUAAAGAAAUAACAAAGACAAAAAAAAAAAAAAAAAAAAAA
This is a long non-coding RNA of Macaca fascicularis (crab-eating macaque), 2362 nucleotides long. The record is from Ensembl. NCBI's taxonomy places the organism in Eukaryota, Metazoa, Chordata, Mammalia, Primates, Cercopithecidae.